This 438-nucleotide unclassified non-coding RNA is filed under the name Hevea brasiliensis (rubber tree). Lineage: Eukaryota; Viridiplantae; Streptophyta; Magnoliopsida; Malpighiales; Euphorbiaceae. The record is from RNAcentral.
GCAAUUUAUCCUUUUUUUAUUUAAUGUUUUCUUCUAUUUAACCACAAAUGGAAAUGUACAGUUUUUGUUAGUUUAAAAACUAUUAUGGUCUUGUCCAUGUGUACCCAAAUGGUAGAAUAUAAUGUCCAGUUAAUUUUCAAUGCUACAACCAAAUAAUGGAAAUAAUUCAUCUUCACAAAAAAUGUUUUCCACAAGCAAAAGAUUUUCUAUGAAACAAAUGGAGCUGUGGUCUUAAUUUCAUGAUUUUAAGUAAUAUCUUCUAGGAGGAAAUAUAUAGUCCAAUCAAUGGGGGACAGACAGAUAGACAAUUGUGAUUCUAGAAUUUUGAAUGUAAUGCUGGGUAAUUUCUGAAUAGAGUGCUUUGGGAUUUUGAUACAUAAUUUGCUAAGAAUCCUUAAUUUCUCGAACUUAUUUGAGACGUUCUAAUGAUAAAUUUAG